RNAcentral lists this ribosomal RNA (371 nucleotides) under uncultured bacterium. RNAcentral's name for it is "bacterial SSU rRNA". It matches the Rfam family "Bacterial small subunit ribosomal RNA", at positions 527 to 896 of the family's 1533-position model. The record is from RNAcentral.
GGAGSGGGCCAGCGUUGUUCGGAAUCAUUGGGCGUAAAGGGCGCGUAGGCGGCCGACCAAGUCGGAGGUGAAAUCCCUCGGCUCAACUGAGGAACUGCCUCCGAUACUGUUCGGCUUGAGUCCCGGAGAGGGUAGUGGAAUUCCGAGCGUAGCGGUGAAAUGCGUAGAGACUCGGAAGAACACCAGUGGCGAAGGCGGCUACCUGGACGGGUACUGACGCUGAAGCGCGAAAGCUAGGGGAGCAAACAGGAUUAGAUACCCUGGUAGUCCUAGCUGUAAACGAUGGGCACUUGGUGUUGCGGGUAUCGACCCCUGCAGUGCCGAAGCUAACGCAUUAAGUGCCCCGCCUGGGGAGUACGGUCGCAAGGCUG